This 178-nucleotide small RNA is filed under the name Crocodylus porosus (Australian saltwater crocodile). Its description in RNAcentral is "TUC338 (ENSCPRG00005011834.1)". The record is from RNAcentral. Lineage: Eukaryota; Metazoa; Chordata; Crocodylia; Crocodylidae.
CCAACAGCACCAAAAAGUGAAUCCCUCUGUUUAUCCACGUCCCUGGCACAGUGUGGACAGGUGCUGUGCAAGUUUCCCACACAAUCCUCUGUCCUGCUGCCUCAACCCUGACCUUGAGGGACCAUCUCUAUUGUGAUGAAAAGUCAACAGCUUUCCAUGCCUUGGCCACACUGCUGAA